UGAGUUUGAUCAUGGCUCAGAUUGAACGCUGGCGGUAGGCUUAACACAUGCAAGUCGUGCGAGAAAGUAUCUUCGGAUAUGAGUAGAGCGGCGGACGGGUGAGUAACGCGUAGGAAUCUACCUAGUAGAAGGGGAUAGCCCGAGGAAACUCGGAUUAAUACCGUAUACCUCCUUAGGGAGAAAGAGGGCCUCUCUUGAUGCUCUCGCUAUUAGAUGAGCCUGCGUAAGAUUAGCUUGUUGGUGAGGUAAUGGCUCACCAAGGCUACGAUCUUUAGCUGGUCUGAGAGGACGAUCAGCCACAUUGGGACUGAGACACGGCCCAGACUCCUACGGGAGGCAGCAGUGGGGAAUAUUGGACAAUGGGCGCAAGCCUGAUCCAGCCAUACCGCGUGUGUGAAGAAGGCCUUCGGGUUGUAAAGCACUUUAAGCCGGGAGAAAAAGUUAUAAGUUAAUACCUUAUAACCGUGAUGUUACCUGCAGAAUAAGCACCGGCUAAUUCCGUGCCAGCAGCCGCGGUAAUACGGAAGGUGCAAGCGUUAAUCGGAAUUACUGGGCGUAAAGCGCGCGUAGGUGGUUUGUUAAGUUGGAUGUGAAAGCC
RNAcentral lists this ribosomal RNA (598 nucleotides) under uncultured Pseudomonadota bacterium. RNAcentral describes it as "bacterial SSU rRNA". It matches the Rfam family "Bacterial small subunit ribosomal RNA", at positions 1 to 602 of the family's 1533-position model. The record is from RNAcentral. Lineage: Bacteria; Pseudomonadati; Pseudomonadota.